This 291-nucleotide ribosomal RNA is filed under the name Triticum aestivum (bread wheat). RNAcentral's name for it is "partial small subunit ribosomal RNA". The record is from RNAcentral. Lineage: Eukaryota; Viridiplantae; Streptophyta; Magnoliopsida; Poales; Poaceae.
AUGGACCCUUCCAUUCCAUAUUCUUGUUGCUAUGCAUCGGAGUCGGACAACGAUGGUCCCGAUGAAGAAGUUGAUGAGGAGGGGUUCACGACGAAGGAGGCCCAAGCUUUCAAGAAGGUACUAUGGCAUGAUCAUCGGAUACCAUUGUUCAAGGAUCUUAGUCUCGCGGAUGAAGCCGUGGUUGACGGUGGCAAGGGUAUAUUUCUUGAAGUUAGGCCAACUUCUCACCGGGAUAACACGGGAAGAGCGGUAUUUCUCCCGGGAAGAAGCUCGGAACCUUCUUGGAAUUGA